This 504-nucleotide ribosomal RNA is filed under the name uncultured bacterium. RNAcentral's name for it is "bacterial SSU rRNA". It matches the Rfam family "Bacterial small subunit ribosomal RNA", at positions 8 to 524 of the family's 1533-position model. The record is from RNAcentral.
AGAGUUUGAUCCUGGCUCAGAAUCAACGCUGGCGGCGUGCCUCAGACAUGCAAGUCGAACGAUUAAAGCUCUCUUCGGAGAGUGCAUAAAGUGGCGCACGGGUGAGUAACACGUAAGUAAUCUACCCUCGAGUGGGGAAUAACAGUCGGAAACGACUGCUAAUACCGCAUAACGCAGCGGCACCGCAAGGUGACAGUUGUUAAAGGAGUAAUUCGCUUGAGGAGGAGCUUGCGGCAGAUUAGCUUGUUGGUAAGGUAACGGCUUACCAAGGCUACGAUCUGUAUCCGGUCUAAGAGGACGGUCGGACACACUGACACUGAAUAACGGGUCAGACUCCUACGGGAGGCAGCAGUCGGGAAUUUUGGGCAAUGGGCGAAAGCCUGACCCAGCAACGCCGCGUGAAGGAUGAAGUAUUUCGGUAUGUAAACUUCGAAAGAAUAGGAAGAAUAAAUGACGGUACUAUUUAUAAGCUCCGGCUAACUACGUGCCAGCAGCCGCGGUAAU